UUUCUUUCUUUCUUUCUCUCUGUCGUCUUUCAUUUCCUGUGGUGUUUACUCUUUUACGUGAGGAGUAGUCUGGAGAGGAAUAUAUGAUAUCUGAUGUGUGGAACAUUUUUGCGUAAAUAUAAAGUGACAGUGACAGCUUUGAUCUACUUGUCAAUAUUAAUGAUAAAUUUCUUCCUACUUGCGAAUGUGUGCUCUAUGGAAGAAGUUGUAAUUUAUUUUGAAGUUAUAAUAUUCACUUGCGUCAAGUUUUGAGACUUGAUACUCUCUUUUCUUAUUCUCGAUUCAGCGUUAGACAAGCACAUGCUG
This 306-nucleotide unclassified non-coding RNA is filed under the name Hevea brasiliensis (rubber tree). The record is from RNAcentral. Lineage: Eukaryota; Viridiplantae; Streptophyta; Magnoliopsida; Malpighiales; Euphorbiaceae.